AUUAUAUUGCGGCGAAGCACUGCUCUUUGGGACUAUAUUGGGACUAUAUUGGGGCGAAACACUACUCCUUGGGACUAUAUUGGGGCGAAGUACUACUCCUUGGGACUAUAUUGGGGCGAAGCACAGAGGAAACACUGCUA
Molecule: long non-coding RNA, 140 nt
Organism: Alosa sapidissima (American shad)
Lineage: Eukaryota; Metazoa; Chordata; Actinopteri; Clupeiformes; Clupeidae
Exons: 3
Source: RefSeq, a predicted model, not a curated record